CCUACGGGAGGCAGCAGUGGGGGAUAUUGCACAAUGGGGGAAACCCUGAUGCAGCAACGCCGCGUGGAGGAAGGCGGGUUUCGGAUUGUAAACUUCUGUUCUUAGUGAAGAAUGAUGACGGUAGCUGAGGAGCAAGCCACGGCUAACUACGUGCCAGCAGCCGCGGUAAUACGUAGGUGGCAAGCGUUGUCCGGAAUUACUGGGUGUAAAGGGAGCGCAGGCGGGAGUGCAAGUCAGCUGUGAAAACUACGGGCUUAACUUGUAGACUGCAGUUGAAACUGGUUUGCUGGAGUGAAGGAGAGGUUGGCGGAAUUCCGGGUGUAGCGGUGAAAUGCGUAGAUAUUCGGAGGAACACCGGUGGCGAAGGCGGCCAGCUGGGCUUUAACUGACGCUGAGGCUCGAAAGUGUGGGGAGCAAACAGGAUUAGAUACCCGGGUAGUC
This 441-nucleotide ribosomal RNA is filed under the name uncultured bacterium. RNAcentral describes it as "partial 16S ribosomal RNA". It matches the Rfam family "Bacterial small subunit ribosomal RNA", at positions 338 to 795 of the family's 1533-position model. The record is from RNAcentral.